RNAcentral lists this ribosomal RNA (732 nucleotides) under uncultured bacterium. RNAcentral's name for it is "bacterial SSU rRNA". It matches the Rfam family "Bacterial small subunit ribosomal RNA", at positions 173 to 895 of the family's 1533-position model. The record is from RNAcentral.
ACAAUGGAUGACACAUGUCAUUUAUUUGAAAGGGGCAAUUGCUCCACUACAAGAUGGACCUGCGUUGUAUUAGCUAGUAGGUGAGGUAAUGGCUCACCUAGGCGACGAUACAUAGCCGACCUGAGAGGGUGAUCGGCCACACUGGGACUGAGACACGGCCCAGACUCCUACGGGAGGCAGCAGUAGGGAAUCUUCGGCAAUGGGGGCAACCCUGACCGAGCAACGCCGCGUGAGUGAAGAAGGUUUUCGGAUCGUAAAGCUCUGUUGUAAGUCAAGAACGGGUGUGAGAGUGGAAAGUUCACACUGUGACGGUAGCUUACCAGAAAGGGACGGCUAACUACGUGCCAGCAGCCGCGGUAAUACGUAGGUCCCGAGCGUUGUCCGGAUUUAUUGGGCGUAAAGCGAGCGCAGGCGGUUUGAUAAGUCUGAAGUUAAAGGCUGUGGCUCAACCAUAGUUCGCUUUGGAAACUGUCAAACUUGAGUGCAGAAGGGGAGAGUGGAAUUCCAUGUGUAGCGGUGAAAUGCGUAGAUAUAUGGAGGAACACCGGUGGCGAAAGCGGCUCUCUGGUCUGUAACUGACGCUGAGGCUCGAAAGCGUGGGGAGCGAACAGGAUUAGAUACCCUGGUAGUCCACGCCGUAAACGAUGAGUGCUAGGUGUUGGAUCCUUUCCGGGAUUCAGUGCCGCAGCUAACGCAUUAAGCACUCCGCCUGGGGAGUACGACCGCAAGGUU